UACUACACCGUAUUCUGUGAGUUGCGAACGGGUGAGUAACGCGUAGGUAACCUGCCUGGUAGCGGGGGAUAACUAUUGGAAACGAUAGCUAAUACCGCAUAAGAACAUUUACUGCAUGGUAGAUGUUUAAAAGGUGCAAAAGCAUCACUACCAGAUGGACCUGCGUUGUAUUAGCUAGUUGGUGAGGUAACGGCUCACCAAGGCAACGAUACAUAGCCGACCUGAGAGGGUGAUCGGCCACACUGGGACUGAGACACGGCCCAGACUCCUACGGGAGGCAGCAGUAGGGAAUCUUCGGCAAUGGGGGGAACCCUGACCGAGCAACGCCGCGUGAGUGAAGAAGGUUUUCGGAUCGUAAAGCUCUGUUGUUAAGGAAGAACGUGUGUGAGAGUGGAAAGUUCACACAGUGACGGUACUUAACCAGAAAGGGACGGCUAACUACGUGCCAGCAGCCGCGGUAAUACGUAGGUCCCGAGCGUUGUCCGGAUUUAUUGGGCGUAAAGCGAGCGCAGGCGGUUAGAUAAGUCUGAAGUGAAAGGCAGUGGCUCAACCAUUGUAGGCUUUGGAAACUGUUUAACUUGAGUGCAGAAGGGGAGAGUGGAAUUCCAUGUGUAGCGGUGAAAUGCGUAGAUAUAUGGAGGAACACCGGUGGCGAAAGCGGCUCUCUGGUCUGUAACUGACGCUGAGGCUCGAAAGCGUGGGGAGCGAACAGGAUUAGAUACCCUGGUAGUCCACGCCGUAAACGAUGAGUGCUAGGUGUUAGGGCCUUUCCGGGACUUA
RNAcentral lists this ribosomal RNA (780 nucleotides) under uncultured Streptococcaceae bacterium. Its description in RNAcentral is "bacterial SSU rRNA". It matches the Rfam family "Bacterial small subunit ribosomal RNA", at positions 75 to 842 of the family's 1533-position model. Lineage: Bacteria; Bacillati; Bacillota; Bacilli; Lactobacillales; Streptococcaceae. The record is from RNAcentral.